Molecule: ribosomal RNA, 305 nt
Filed under: uncultured Alphaproteobacteria bacterium
Lineage: Bacteria; Pseudomonadati; Pseudomonadota; Alphaproteobacteria
Description: bacterial SSU rRNA
Rfam family: Bacterial small subunit ribosomal RNA
Source: RNAcentral
CACGAGCGCACCCUCGCCUUUAGUUGCCAGCAUGUUGGGGUGGGCACUCUAAAGGAACUGCCGGUGACAAGCCGGAGGAAGGUGGGGAUGACGUCAAGUCCUCAUGGCCCUUAUGUCCUGGGCUACACACGUGCUACAAUGGCGGUGACAGUGGGAAGCCAGGCAGCGAUGCCGAGCUGAUCUCCAAAAGCCGUCUCAGUUCGGAUUGCACUCUGCAACUCGGGUGCAUGAAGGUGGAAUCGCUAGUAAUCGUGGAUCAGCAUGCCACGGUGAAUACGUUCCCGGGCCUUGUACACACCGCCCGU